CAAAGGGAAGCAAGGCGUGAGCGUAAGCAAAACCCAAAAAUAACGUCCCAGUUCGGAUUGUAGUCUGCAACCCGACUACAUGAAGCUGGAAUCGCUAGUAAUCGCGGAUCAGAAUGCCGCGGUGAAUACGUUCCCGGGUCUUGUACACACCGCCCGUCACACCAUGGGAGUCGGAAAUGCCCGAAGUCGGUGACCGAACCGAAAGGAAGGAGCCGCCGAAGGCAGGUCUGGUGACUGGGGUGAAGUCGUAACAAGGUAUC
Molecule: ribosomal RNA, 260 nt
Filed under: uncultured bacterium
Lineage: Bacteria
Description: partial 16S ribosomal RNA
Rfam family: Bacterial small subunit ribosomal RNA
Source: RNAcentral